Molecule: ribosomal RNA, 254 nt
Filed under: uncultured bacterium
Lineage: Bacteria
Description: partial 16S ribosomal RNA
Rfam family: Bacterial small subunit ribosomal RNA
Source: RNAcentral
UACGGGGGGAGCAAGCGUUGUUCGGAUUUACUGGGCGUAAAGCGUGCGCAGGCGGUUUUGUAAGUCUGACGUGAAAUCCCCGGGCUCAACCUGGGAAUGGCGAUGAAGACUGCAAGGCUAGAAUCUGGCAGAGGGGGGUAGAAUUCCACGUGUAGCAGUGAAAUGCGUAGAGAUGUGGAGGAACACCGAUGGCGAAGGCAGCCCCCUGGGUCAAGAUUGACGCUCAUGCACGAAAGCGUGGGGGAGCAAACAGG